CACAAAUUUUACAACAUUCCAUUUACCGUCCUCCAACCCCACCUACACACAUGCACAAAGUCAUUUGCAUAGUAGGAGUGGUGCCUUUAGGGACCACAGCGGUUCUCAAGGGGCAAAAUAAUCAAUAGGUUAAUAUUAGCAAUAUUUUAGCCUAGAAGUCCACACAAUGAAGAAUGCAAAGGUUGGCAAAUCUGAGCCCCACUUAAUGAUCCCUGCUAUUAUCCUCCACUCAGUGCUGACAAUUCUGAUUGCUAAUUUAGUGUAGUCAUAUGUAACAACAACGUCUUCUCAUAAUUAUCCUUUUUUUUUCUCUUAAAAAGGUCCUGAAAAUCUAGUCUCUCUAUUAGCUUCUUACCCAGUCUUGAUGAAGCAGAUUAGCUGAAUGUUUGACUGUUACACUCUUAAAAAGUAAUACCUUCUAACAACAAAAUCUUCUCAUUUUGUUUUUUCAGGACAAAAUCCUAAUCCUUUAUCCACGUUCUAAUAUGGCUGAUCAACAUGACAGAAAGUUUUCCCUGACUUAGUAGACAAUUUACAAAAGCAAACACUAUCACAUCACUGGUAACAUGAUGAAAACGCUUUCUUGUCAUGGACAAUAGGUGAACACACAGUUCCAGUGGCUUCACAAUGGCAGUAUUACAAGGUCAGCUCUGAGGUUUCGCCUGGCUCAGCAAAGACCUGCAGAGCUGUGGGGCAUGCUGCUCAGCUGACAGGGCUCUUUGCUUGUUCAUGGUGCUCUUUCUCGAAGGGGCCCCAGUGACAGAGCCAUUCACAAGCACGGGCCAUAAAUGACCGAGUUCAACACCACAUUAAGCACUGCAUUCUCAAAAUCAGUAGGCUACUGACUCUGGAGCACAGCCAAAAUGCCAGGAACAAAAGGUAAUAAGUCGGACAAGAAGUCAGCUACCAAGCAACCUCAGAGUCCUAAAGAGCAGCCGAAGAAAGGUGAUCAGAAAGGAGACGAUAACAAGAAGCAAGGAGGACAGCCGAAGGGAGAGAAGCAAUAACUUCCAGGCAUUUGUGAAGAUGGCUUUGGAGACACUGCUGGGGUCCUGCCGUCGUA
This is a long non-coding RNA of Micropterus salmoides (largemouth bass), 1063 nucleotides long. RefSeq lists it as uncharacterized. The record is from RefSeq and is a predicted model, not a curated record. Lineage: Eukaryota; Metazoa; Chordata; Actinopteri; Centrarchiformes; Centrarchidae. The transcript has 4 exons.